This 293-nucleotide ribosomal RNA is filed under the name uncultured microorganism. RNAcentral describes it as "partial 16S ribosomal RNA". It matches the Rfam family "Bacterial small subunit ribosomal RNA", at positions 505 to 796 of the family's 1533-position model. The record is from RNAcentral.
GUGCCAGCAGCCGCGGUAAUACGUAGGUGGCAAGCGUUAUCCGGAAUUAUUGGGCGUAAAGCGCGCGCAGGUGGUUUCUUAAGUCUGAUGUGAAAGCCCACGGCUCAACCGUGGAGGGUCAUUGGAAACUGGGAGACUUGAGUGCAGAAGAGGAAAGUGGAAUUCCAUGUGUAGCGGUGAAAUGCGUAGAGAUAUGGAGGAACACCAGUGGCGAAGGCGACUUUCUGGUCUGUAACUGACACUGAGGCGCGAAAGCGUGGGGAGCAAACAGGAUUAGAUACCCUGGGUAGUCC